GAUAAAUGCCAUCUGCAAUGAUCGGACUACUGUUGAUUUUCACCGUGUCAGCGACAUCAUUUGCUGGUCAGUACCACGCCGGGAACUAUGCUGUUAAUUCUUUCGUGGCACCAGCGUUUUCAACUGGUCACCAGAGAGGAAUAUUUGGUUGCUUUUUCAACUGGCGGUACUAUCUCCCAGGAGAUGUGUUCCCUGCC
This is a long non-coding RNA of Magallana angulata, 197 nucleotides long. RefSeq lists it as uncharacterized. NCBI's taxonomy places the organism in Eukaryota, Metazoa, Mollusca, Bivalvia, Ostreida, Ostreidae. The record is from RefSeq and is a predicted model, not a curated record. The transcript is spliced from 3 exons.